GACGAACCGUCCAAACGUUGUUCGGAAUCACUGGGCUUAAAGGGCGCGUAGGCGGACAUGCAAGUCCGGGGUGAAAGCCCCCAGCUUAACUGGGGAAGGGCCUUGGAAACUGCAUGUCUCGAGGGAGGUAGGGGUCUGUGGAACUUCGGGUGGAGCGGUGAAAUGCGUUGAUAUCCGAAGGAACGCCGGUGGCGAAAGCGACGGACUGGACCUCUUCUGACGCUGAGGCGCGAAAGCCAGGGGAGCAAACGGG
Molecule: ribosomal RNA, 253 nt
Filed under: uncultured bacterium
Lineage: Bacteria
Description: partial 16S ribosomal RNA
Rfam family: Bacterial small subunit ribosomal RNA
Source: RNAcentral